CUUACUGAAGCAGAGCCCUCAAUUUCAAAUAUUGAAAUUGACACGGUGCCAUCACCUGCCCUAUACGUUGAAUGUGGUGCGAGCAGCGGGGCAAGCCCACAAAAGACCACGCCCGUAUGUUCGCGUGUUCGCGAUCGCAUAUCGAAUAUCAGACGACCUCUACAUGAUGGUGAAAUAAGUGCUUUAUUUAAUUAUGGUAGCGAGGAGGAGUCCGGCAAAGAGAAAGAAGAGAUUACCCAGUGGGUAUUGCUGCCCCGGGUGGCAAGGAUGUUUAUGGACGUAGAGAAUGAGGAAGUUGAAGAAGGUUCUCGCCUCGCCCAUCCGCUUGUGACCCAACACCCGUUUCGCUGUCUCCUGCCUCGCUGACGCGGAUGUCUGAUUUGUGAAUUCCUAUGGAGCCGAAUGACAAAUUUAAAUUUGAA
Leptidea sinapis is the source of this 422-nucleotide long non-coding RNA. RefSeq lists it as uncharacterized. The record is from RefSeq and is a predicted model, not a curated record. The transcript is spliced from 4 exons. NCBI's taxonomy places the organism in Eukaryota, Metazoa, Arthropoda, Insecta, Lepidoptera, Pieridae.